UUUAACUGAAGAGUUUGAUCAUGGCUCAGAUUGAACGCUGGCGGCAGGCUUAACACAUGCAAGUCGAGCGGGGAAGGGUAGCUUGCUACCUAACCUAGCGGCGGACGGGUGAGUAAUGCUUAGGAAUCUGCCUAUUAGUGGGGGACAACAUCUCGAAAGGGAUGCUAAUACCGCAUACGUCCUACGGGAGAAAGCAGGGGAUCUUCGGACCUUGCGCUAAUAGAUGAGCCUAAGUCGGAUUAGCUAGUUGGUGGGGUAAAGGCCUACCAAGGCGACGAUCUGUAGCGGGUCUGAGAGGAUGAUCCGCCACACUGGGACUGAGACACGGCCCAGACUCCUACGGGAGGCAGCAGUGGGGAAUAUUGGACAAUGGGGGGAACCCUGAUCCAGCCAUGCCGCGUGUGUGAAGAAGGCCUUAUGGUUGUAAAGCACUUUAAGCGAGGAGGAGGCUACUUUAGUUAAUAACUAGAGAUAGUGGACGUUACUCGCAGAAUAAGCACCGGCUAACUCUGUGCCAGCAGCCGCGGUAAUACAGAGGGUGCAAGCGUUAAUCGGAUUUACUGGGCGUAAAGCGCGCGUAGGCGGCUAAUUAAGUCAAAUGUGAAAUCCCCGAGCUUAACUUGGGAAUUGCAUUCGAUACUGGUUAGCUAGAGUGUGGGAGAGGAUGGUAGAAUUCCAGGUGUAGCGGUGAAAUGCGUAGAGAUCUGGAGGAAUACCGAUGGCGAAGGCAGCCAUCUGGCCUAACACUGACGCUGAGGUGCGAAAGCAUGGGGAGCAAACAGGAUUAGAUACCCUGGUAGUCCAUGCCGUAAACGAUGUCUACUAGCCGUUGGGGCCUUUGAGGCUUUAGUGGCGCAGCUAACGCGAUAAGUAGACCGCCUGGGGAGUACGGUCGCAAGACUAAAACUCAAAUGAAUUGACGGGGGCCCGCACAAGCGGUGGAGCAUGUGGUUUAAUUCGAUGCAACGCGAAGAACCUUACCUGGCCUUGACAUA
This 995-nucleotide ribosomal RNA is filed under the name Acinetobacter seifertii. RNAcentral describes it as "bacterial SSU rRNA". It matches the Rfam family "Bacterial small subunit ribosomal RNA", at positions 1 to 988 of the family's 1533-position model. The record is from RNAcentral. Lineage: Bacteria; Pseudomonadati; Pseudomonadota; Gammaproteobacteria; Moraxellales; Moraxellaceae.